This 420-nucleotide long non-coding RNA is filed under the name Pan troglodytes (chimpanzee). RNAcentral's name for it is "long non-coding RNA NONPTRT009213". Lineage: Eukaryota; Metazoa; Chordata; Mammalia; Primates; Hominidae. The record is from RNAcentral.
UCUUCCCCCUGAGGAAGGGACCCCGGGCAGCCGGAGAGCUCAUUGCCGCCUUUGAACUCAUUGAACUAGACUACAGUGGCCGACUUGAGCCCUCAGUGCCCAGUGAUGUGGAGCCCCAGGAUCUGGCACCCCUGGUUGAGCCCCACUCUGGACGCCUGUCCCUUCCACCCAACGUGUGCCCAGUGCUCAGGGAGUUCCGUGUUGAGGUGCUGUUCUGGGGUCUUAGGGGACUUGGUCGUGUGCAUCUGUUCGAGGUGGAGCAGCCCCAGGUUGUACUGGAGGUGGCUGGGCAACGUGUGGAGUCUGAGGUCCUGGCCAGCUACCGUGAGAGACCCAAUUUCACUGAGCUUGUCAGGCAUCUGACAGUGGACUUGCCGGAGCAGCCUUACUUGCAGCCUCCACUCAGCAUCUUGGUGAUUG